This is a long non-coding RNA of Triticum aestivum (bread wheat), 3032 nucleotides long. RefSeq lists it as uncharacterized. The transcript is spliced from 3 exons. The record is from RefSeq and is a predicted model, not a curated record. NCBI's taxonomy places the organism in Eukaryota, Viridiplantae, Streptophyta, Magnoliopsida, Poales, Poaceae.
CUUCUCGCCCUGUUCUUUCCCCAAAUCCGACGACGAGAGACAACCGCUGCCGCGACGCAGCCGAAGACGGGGGGCAGGGAAGGGGAAGGGCUGGAGCGCGGUGGGGACCCGCUUCUCGUCGCCGGCGUAGGUACGGUCGCCCAUUCGGCUGCUCCCUGCCCAACCAGAUCCAGCCCCAUCGUCCUUGUUCCCCGCCGUCGUCGACGGGAUGCGGCCGUCGUCUACUUCCUCUGCCCGAGGGAUGGAAACGUCGGCACUGGAGUCGUGGCCGUGGCGGGGAAGGCGAACCCAGCGCAGCUCUGCCAGUGGCUCAAGAGGAAGAUAAGCAAGGAUGUCAAGAUUUUCCGCCGUUGUCCAAACGGGCUGAGAAUUGUAAUAAGCAGGUAUGCAUCCCUCUUGUCUACUUGUACUGCAGAAUGAAGGACGAUGUGUGUAAUAUCCAAAUGAAUGCACGUUAUUACGAAGGGCUAGCCGUGUGGGGUUAAGGUGCUCGCCGGCGGCGACCUGCGUGGCUCUCGGCCUGCAUCCUCGCUGAACUCAACACCAACUAUCGCGCGCCCGCGAUGUGACUGCUGUUGCAACAACGACGGCCAACGGCUAUUGAACGACGAGGAUGCCCUUCGGGGGUUAUAGCAUGCAAAGCAAAGAAGUUGCUCGAUACUCACAGCCAAUAUAUCUCCCUGUAGAAGCAGAAGAAGCAGCAAUUGAUUCAUAAGCAACAAUUUUAUCUGUUUCGUUCCUUUGUAUUUUUGCCCUCUGUUUCUACUGAUUGUAUGUAUCACUUUUUCAGAUAUAUUGAUCUUCACAUUCUUAGUUGGCAUCCGUAGUGGUUGUAGUUGUACACAUAGCAGUUCUUGGUUGGAUACGACAAUUAGAAAGUUGCACAACACUAAACCUUUUUCCUACGGCGGUGAAAGUGGAACGGAAUACAUUGAACUGAAUACACAUGGUGAUCAUUUUUUUGGCAUUUAUAGUAAUUCUUGUUACACACAUAGUUGUUUUCGUCGGAGACGAUCAUUACUAUAGUAGUUGUAGUUGCACAUACAGUUGUUCUCAGUUGGAUCCUAUUAUUGAAAAAUUGCACACAUGGCAAUCAUUUUUUGUUUGCAUCUAUAGUAGUUCUAGUUGCACACAUAGUUGUUUUCAGUUGGACACGAUCAUUGGAAAAUUACACACACGGCGAUCAAUUUUGGGUGGCAUCUAUAGUCGUUCUAGUUGCACACAUAGUUGUUUUCAGUUGGAUACGGUCAUUGGAAAGCUGCACACACGGUGAUAAUUUUUUGUUGGCAUCUAUAGUAGUUCUAGUUGCAUACAUAGUUGUUUUCAGUUGGACACGGUCAUUGGAAGUAGUUGGCAGGGGCAAUAGAAGUAGUUGCACAGAAUCUGCUAGGCAAAACUUUAUGGUGGCGAAAGAUUCCUCUUAGUAAAUCUGCAGAGAAGAAAUGUGCGCGCGAAGGCAGUAUCCAAAGGGGUAGAUGCCACAUCUUCUGCAGCAGCCGCUGUGGUAACAUAAAGUUCUAUCAUGAAUACUUUUUACUCCACAUACAGGCAGCCAAGUGUAUGAAUUUUCAUACAUGGUUGCAGAAGGACUAAUUAAGCAUUGGCAUGCUCUACUUUCUCAGUUGCUCAACGUUGCCAUCUUCAAGUUUUUUAGAAUUGUCCCAAGAGUAUGUAACGACUUGGCAUCCUCUGGCUUUCUAGUUGCAGAAUAAUAUCUAAUUAGUUGGCAACCUCGGUAAUUCUAAUUGCACAACAAUAACUAGUUGACAUCCUCAUCUUCUCUAGUUGCACAAGAACUCAGAUUAGUUCCAUCUUAAAAAAAAUGAGGAUUUCCCUAUAGUAUGUAGCGACUUGACACCCUUAGGCUUUCUAGUUGCAGAAGAGUAUCUAUUUAGUUGGCACCCUCGGCAAUUCUAGUUGGACAAUAUUAUCCAAGUAGUUGAUAUGCUCAGCCUCUCUAGUUGCACAAAAAUUCAGAUUAAUCCCAUCUUAAAAAAUUUGAGGAUUGCCCAACGGUAUCUAAUCACUUGGCACCCUCAGGCUUUCUACUUGCAGAAGAUUAUCUAUUUAGUUGGCACCCUCUACAAUUCUAGUUGGACAACAUUAUCCAAGUAGUUGGCAUCCUCAGCCUCUCUAGUUGCACAAAAAUAUCUCAUUAGUUGGCAUCAUCAGCAUUUCUAGUCGCACAAGAAUAUCUCAUUAGUUGUCAUCACCAGCAUUUCUAGUUGCAGAACAAACAGGAUAUCAAGUUGCCAUCCUCAACAUUUUAAUCUAGUUUUCCAGAGAACAAAUAUUUGUAUGUAAUGAUAACUAAUCACCUUUGCCUUUUUUUUGCAAACCCCGAGAUAUUGUUCCAGGAAAUGAGAGUAAUGAAGCAUAUAAUGUUGAACGAUAGUCACAAGCUGGCUACCUGAUGGAGACUACGCUGGAUACCUGAUGUUUGAGUUGGAUAGAAUACAUGUUUUAGUUGGCUAUAAUACAUGGGUACCUGCACACAACCUUGUGUAUGCUUGUUGCACACAUCCAGGGGAAAGUUGGCUAUUUAACCAUGUUUAGUUGCACAGGGAACUACAUCAACCUUUUUUCUACUAUGAUGCAUUUUUUCACCCGUGGAUAUGUUUGUUUGCACACAUCCAUGUGAAAGUUGGUUUGAAACCAUGGUUUUCUUGCACAGGGAACUGAAUUUCUUAUGCUUUUACUUGAUCUUCCUUCUCAAAAUCAUGGAGUUUUUUUUACUUGAUUUGGGAGAUUUAGAGGGAAAGGGCAAGGGAGAUAGUCAACAAGGUUUGCACAUGGGAGAGGAGAAGGAUUUCUUACCUUGGCGUUGCUUGGUAAGCUUCUCUUCUCUUCUUCCUGUUUUUCUGACCAAGAUCUCCUCACCUUGGCUGCUUUGCCAUGGCAGCUCUACAGGAUCUGGUUCAUGGCAUUGGAUCUGGUUUCUUUCAUGGGGAAGAAGCUGACGACCAGCGAGGGAGAGAGGGUGAGAACAGCUGGCGCGAAGGAUCUUUCCUUCCUGGGACCAGCGGACAAAC